GAUAAACGCUAGCGGCAGGCUUAACACAUGCAAGUCGAGGGGCAGCAUAGAUUGUAGCAAUACAAUUGGUGGCGACCGGCGCACGGGUGCGUAACGCGUAUGCAACCUACCCGUCACAGGGGGAUAAUCCGGAGAAAUCUGGUCUAAUACCCCAUAACAUAUGGAUCGGCAUCGGUUCAUGUUGAAAUUUUCGGAGGUGACGGAUGGGCAUGCGUAGCAUUAGCUUGUUGGUGAGGUAACGGCUCACCAAGGCGACGAUGCUUAGGGGGACUGAGAGGAUUGCGCCCCAGACUGGUACUAGGACACGGACCAGACUCCUACGGGAGGCAGCAGUGAGGAAUAUUGGUCAAUGGGCGCAAGCCUGAACCAGCCAUGCCGCGUGCAGGAUGACGGCUCUAUGAGUUGUAAACUGCUUUUGUACGAGGGUAAAGUGGGUUACGUGUAACCUUUUGAAAGUAUCGUACGAAUAAGGAUCGGCUAACUCCGUGCCAGCCGCCGCCGUAA
This 504-nucleotide ribosomal RNA is filed under the name uncultured bacterium. RNAcentral describes it as "partial 16S ribosomal RNA". It matches the Rfam family "Bacterial small subunit ribosomal RNA", at positions 28 to 523 of the family's 1533-position model. The record is from RNAcentral.